CCCAGUGGAAGUCUUUACCAUUGCUUAAAGGUAUGCUAUCAGCAGCAGAGUCUUCACUCCAAGUAUGGAUGUGCUAUGACUAUUCAGCUUCUUCCCGAGUGUUAAGGCUGCCCAACAUACUUGAAGGAUAUAGGAGGAAGAGAAUAAAAUUUAACAUGCGCUCCUCGCUUGCUGAGAGGGGUUCUGUCCAAGAAAAGGACUGGCUUUCGAUCCAGUGGCCUCUGGAACUCAUCAGCUGGAACCUUUGAGAUACAGACUUAGUCCUAUUUGUUGAAAGGAAGGUGUUGGUGAAAUCUCACUCUGCAAUCCUGUAAUGGGGAAAAAGAAGCUGGAUUCGGUUGUAGACUGUAGGAUUUGAUGCCCAUCUCUAUUCUAUCCUUUGACAACUGAAUAUGAAUCCAGCCAUUUCUUGACA
This is a long non-coding RNA of Podarcis raffonei (Aeolian wall lizard), 415 nucleotides long. RefSeq lists it as uncharacterized. The record is from RefSeq and is a predicted model, not a curated record. Lineage: Eukaryota; Metazoa; Chordata; Lepidosauria; Squamata; Lacertidae. The transcript has 3 exons.